Long non-coding RNA from Canis lupus familiaris (dog), 722 nucleotides. RefSeq lists it as uncharacterized. The transcript has 2 exons. The record is from RefSeq and is a predicted model, not a curated record. Lineage: Eukaryota; Metazoa; Chordata; Mammalia; Carnivora; Canidae.
CCGGGGCGGGGCGGGGCCUCCGCAGCUCCCCCGGGAGCGUGUCGGGUGAGGAAACUGAGGCUGCUGGGGGCACGCGGCCAACGCCUCUGCCAGCCUGGGGCCCGGGGCGAGAAUCCUCAGCCCGGAGACUCGGUUUUUCAUCUGAAAAAUGGGCCAACUCCCGUGGGCCAAGCCCGUAAAAGUGCUUAGCAGGGUGCGGGGUUCACGCGAGCCCUCCACAGCCAUUGCCGCCUCUAAUCCGCAAAGCGCCCCCAUAAAUAGCCGACCCCGGCCGGGGCUGCAGAAAGGAUCACUAACUCGCGCAUGACCAUAUGGCUGAGAAAAUGGACCCGACGCUGGAGCCAAGUCUAACUCCAGAGCCGUCGCCCCAAAUCCCCAAAUCGGACAUUGUCCCCGGAGUGACAGCUCAGGCGAGCCGGAGGCCGCGUGGCUCGCGGAGCCAACCCGCUGCUGCGAGUUCCCGCGACCCUUCUGAGAAGGCCUCUUCCUCCUCAUCUAACCGGGAGAAAAACACCUCCCUCGGGGGCUUUGGCUGUUUGAAGUGAAGUCACAGGAUCUGUGCUGUUUGUGACACUCUUGUUUUCACUUGGCUCCCCCCUUGGACGACGGUUCCCUGUGGAGAUACAGAGAUGACCUCCUCUGUCUCGGUGAUGAACGCGCCCCACGGCCCUUAGAGCCCCUUUUCACCAUUGCGGGUAUAAAUAAAGCUGCACUGGCUGUGA